This 661-nucleotide small RNA is filed under the name Pan troglodytes (chimpanzee). RNAcentral describes it as "processed transcript". The record is from RNAcentral. Lineage: Eukaryota; Metazoa; Chordata; Mammalia; Primates; Hominidae.
GCGCCGGCGCCUCCUCUCGGCGUCCCCUGAGCCAGCCCGCGAGCGGCCGCGCUCCCGACUCUCCUUCUUUCCGCGCAGCCUCCAGUUACCCGGGGCUGGAGCCCGCUGUCGGCGGGUUGCCGGCUCUGAGGGCGGUGAGAGUGGCAGGUGUACCCUGCUGCACAGGUGGCCUCCGAACCCGGGAAAAGAGGAACUAAGGCGGAGGAACUGAGACGUUUCGAAUUCCAGGCGCACUGCACACUCGCCAGGGGGCACGCCAUGCAAAUCUCCUUCCGGGCCAAUGCACAUGGUUGCUGCCACAGGUUUACCGGAUGCUAUCAAGGUUUCAACUGCCCACACAGCUUCUUCAACGUGUUCAAAAUACUGGAAUCAGUUAAGCUAAGGUAUGAAGGUGUCUGACUCACUCCUCCUGCUACCAAAGCAUCUCCUUCAUCAGCCACUUGUCGGGCGAUGUCGCAAGCAGCUUCAUUGACUUUCUGCCCCUAAAAUGGAGACGGGGUCUCCCUACAUUGCCCAGGAUGGACUGGAAUUCCUGGCCUGAUACGAUCCUCCUGCCUUGGCCACUCAAAGUACAUCCUUAACACCCCUCUAUGGCUGUACAUUCAGGCAGGUUUAACAACUUACUUUCAUCCUGGAAUAAACUUGAAGAAAAUACAUUAUG